RNAcentral lists this ribosomal RNA (63 nucleotides) under uncultured bacterium. RNAcentral describes it as "partial 16S ribosomal RNA". The record is from RNAcentral.
ACGUUUAACCCGCUAAACGGGACGAAGUAAGCCGCCUACUAGGUAUGACUGGUGACUGGGGUG